Zingiber officinale is the source of this 432-nucleotide long non-coding RNA. RefSeq lists it as uncharacterized. The transcript is spliced from 3 exons. NCBI's taxonomy places the organism in Eukaryota, Viridiplantae, Streptophyta, Magnoliopsida, Zingiberales, Zingiberaceae. The record is from RefSeq and is a predicted model, not a curated record.
UUGAUUGACCAUGCAUAUAUAUAUAUAUAUAGCAAUCAAUCGUAUAUGGAUGGAGAUUGACAAAUGUGUUCGAGCCACCCGUGGCCCAACCCAAAUCGCUCGAGGAUGGAAAUGACUAAUGAGGUCCGUCGUCAGAUCGUUGAGAAGAGGGAUAAUCUGAGUGCUUGGUUAUGCUCGUAGAACAUUUGGCAACAUAAGCUUCAAGAAUGAGGUUGCACUUCGUGUGAUACGAUGACAGAGUCAAUGAGAUUUUUCAGAUGAAUGAUGUCAAAGUGAUCAGUAUCAUCUCUUGCACAAUCAUUCUUCAGGGUACAUCAAAAUUGAAACCGUUGAAUGAGCUAUUGCCUUCUUCAAUGAAAUGGGUACAAAAGAUACAGUAUCUGACAGUACUAUUGUAUCUGGAUGUGUCCAAAAUGUGGAUGCUGAAGAAGC